Molecule: ribosomal RNA, 495 nt
Filed under: uncultured microorganism
Description: bacterial SSU rRNA
Rfam family: Bacterial small subunit ribosomal RNA
Source: RNAcentral
GAGUUUGAUCGUGGCUCAGGAUGAACGCCGGCGGUGUGCCUAAUACAUGCAAGUCGUACGCACUGGCCCAACUGAUUGAUGGUGCUUGCACCUGAUUGACGAUGGAUCACCAGUGAGUGGCGGACGGGUGAGUAACACGUAGGUAACCUGCCCCGGAGCGGGGAUAACAUUUGGAAACAGAUGCUAAUACCGCAUAACAACAAAGGCCACAUGGCUUUUGUUUGAAAGAUGGCUUUGGCCAUCACCCUGGGAUGGACCUGCGGUGCAUUAGCUUGUUGGUAAGGUAACGGCUUACCAAGGCGAUGAUGCAUAGCCGAGUUGAGAGACUGAUCGGCCACAAUGGAACUGAGACACGGUCCAUACUCCUACGGGAGGCAGCAGUAGGGAAUCUUCCACAAUGGGCGCAAGCCUGAUGGAGCAACACCGCGUGAGUGAAGAAGGGUUUCGGCUCGUAAAGCUCUGUUGUUGGAGAGAACGUGCGUGAGAGUAACUGUU